Molecule: ribosomal RNA, 497 nt
Filed under: uncultured bacterium
Lineage: Bacteria
Description: partial 16S ribosomal RNA
Rfam family: Bacterial small subunit ribosomal RNA
Source: RNAcentral
GAUGAACGCUGGCGGCGUGCCUAAUACAUGCAAGUCGAGCGAACGGACGAGAAGCUUGCUUCUCUGAUGUUAGCGGCGGACGGGUGAGUAACACGUGGAUAACCUACCUAUAAGACUGGGAUAACUUCGGGAAGCCGGAGCUAAUACCGGAUAAUAUUUUGAACCGCAUGGUUCAAAAGUAAAAGACGGUCUUGCUGUCACUUAUAGAUGGAUCCGCGCUGCAUUAGCUAGUUGGUAAGGUAACGGCUUACCAAGGCAACGAUGCAUAGCCGACCUGAGAGGGUGAUCGGCCACACUGGAACUGAGACACGGUCCAGACUCCUACGGGAGGCAGCAGUAGGGAAUCUUCCGCAAUGGGCGAAAGCCUGACGGAGCAACGCCGCGUGAGUGAUGAAGGUCUUCGGAUCGUAAAACUCUGUUAUUAGGGAAGAACAUAUGUGUAAGUAACUGUGCACAUCUUGACGGUACCUAAUCAGAAAGCCACGGCUAACUACGUG